Molecule: ribosomal RNA, 402 nt
Filed under: uncultured bacterium
Lineage: Bacteria
Description: partial 16S ribosomal RNA
Rfam family: Bacterial small subunit ribosomal RNA
Source: RNAcentral
AAUAUUGCGCAAUGGGGGGAACCCUGACGCAGCAACGCCGCGUGAGUGAAGAAGGUCUUCGGAUCGUAAAACUCUGUCAUAGGGGAAGAAGGAGAUGACGGUACCCUAUGAGGAAGCCCCGGCUAACUACGUGCCAGCAGCCGCGGUAAUACGUAGGGGGCGAGCGUUGUCCGGAAUUACUGGGCGUAAAGGGUGCGUAGGCGGCUGAUUAAGUCAGAUGUGAAAUACCAGGGCUCAACCCUGGGGGUGCAUUUGAAACUGGCCAGCUUGAGCGCAGGAGAGGGAAGUGGAAUUCCUAGUGUAGCGGUGAAAUGCGUAGAGAUUAGGAGGAACACCAGUGGCGAAGGCGACUUCCUGGACUGUAACUGACGCUGAGGCACGAAAGCGUGGGGAGCAAACAGG